AUAGCGUAUAUUAAAGUUGUUGCAGUUAAAAAGCUCGUAGUUGAACCUUGGGCCUGGCUGGCCGGUCCGCCUCACCGCGUGCACUGGUCCGGCCGGGCCUUUCCUUCUGGGGAGCUGCAUGCCCUUCACUGGGUGUGUCAGGGAACCAGGACUUUUACUUUGAAAAAAUUAGAGUGUUCAAAGCAGGCCUAUGCUCGAAUACAUUAGCAUGGAAUAAUAGAAUAGGACGUGUGGUUCUAUUUUGUUGGUUUCUAGGACCACCGUAAUGAUUAAUAGGGAUAGUCGGGGGCAUCAGUAUUCAAUUGUCAGAGGUGAAAUUCUUGGAUUAAUUGAAGACUAACUACUG
This 346-nucleotide ribosomal RNA is filed under the name uncultured eukaryote. Its description in RNAcentral is "SSU rRNA". It matches the Rfam family "Eukaryotic small subunit ribosomal RNA", at positions 594 to 945 of the family's 1831-position model. The record is from RNAcentral.